AUAUUACGUGGCCCAGGAGGAACUAAAACUCCUGAAAACCUGCCAGGGCCCAUCACGCCCCUCUCUGUUACCCUGAAACUUCAGGAAAAGUCAGAUCCACACAGCAGCUUGAUUAGCAGUGCUUGUCGGGAGUGGGCGGAGCAGGAAGAAUGCUGUGUCUAGGCUGGGGUGGGGGGAUAGGAGGAGAAUGUCAGCUGUAGGAGCCAAGGGGACUGGCAAGGAGCUGUGCAACCACAGAGGAAAAGCAUAUGGAUCCUCCCUUGAGCUACCCAACUUUACAUUAAAGACAGGUCCUUGCUCUGUUGCCCAGGCUACUGUGCAGUGGCAUGAUCAUAGUUCACUGCAACCUCAAACUCCUGAGCUUCAGCGAUCCUCCCACCUCAGCCUCCCAAGUAGUCCCAUAGUCCCAGCCCCUGAGCUGGGACUACAGGUAUGUGCCACCAUGCCUGGCUAAUUUUUUAUAUAGACGGGGUUUCACUAUAUUGCGCAGACUUGUCUUGAACUCCUGGGCUCAAGCAACCCUCCUGCUUCAGCCUCCCAAAGCACUGGGAUUACAGGCAUGAGGCCCCUGACCUCCAAGGGUUACAGGGUUACAUCUCUUUUUUUUUUUUUUUUUUUGAGACUUAGUUUCGUUCUUGUCCCCAAGGCUAGAAUGCAGUGGUGUGAUCUCAGCUCACUGCAAACUCCGCCUCCUGGGUUUCAGCAAUUCUCUUGCUUCACCCUCUGGAGUAGCUGGCACAGAUGCGCGCCACCACUCCUGGCUAAUUUUUGUAGUUUUAGUAGAGACGGGGUCUCACUGUGUUGGCCAGGCUGGUCUCAAACUCUUGACCUCAGGUGAUCUGCCCACCUCAGCCUCCGAAAGUGCUAGGAUUACAGGGGUAAGCCACCGUGCCAGGCCCUCCAAGGGUUACAUCUUAUGUAAAGUAUCAAAGCUAGGAAACUGAGGUGGGUAUAACGUGUCUGCCUAAUUCUGUGUUGUUUUAUCACAUGCAAAUUUGUGUAACUACUACCACUUCAAGUAAAAUGCAGAAAUGCUCCCUCACCAAACAGAUCUCUCUGGUGAGACCUCUGUGUAGCCACACCCACUCUCUCCCCAUCAACAACUAAUGUGUCUCCAUCGCUAUCAUUUUGAGGAGGCUGAGUUUUAAAUCAACUUCCGACCCUCUCAGCAGUGUGACCUUGGAUAAGUCACUUGUCUUUUUCUGGAUGUUGAUCUUCUCAGCUAAAGUAAGACAAGGUUGGGUCACAUCAACAUUCCUCUUGAAUUUCCACAGGCUGAUAUGAUCUGAAAAUGCUACAGAGAUUACGAGAAAGAAAAUGGGGUUUUAUGGUGAAAUAAACUAGGGAAAUGGUGCUUUACAUAAAUACAUAAUGCUUCUUUACCAUGAAUUCUCAGCCCUUUAAUACACUAAGGUGAACUGUGAAUCUUCUAGUGUGGGAGGUAUAUGCAGCAUUUUCCAAAUCUAUCUGAACACAGAAUGCUCCCCCUACUCUUAAAAAAAUCCUCUAGAAAAAAAAAUCACUUGGAACGAGUUUUUCAGGGAAUAUGCUUAGAGAUAUGCUUUUUCAGGUGACCUCUGAGGUCCUCCUGCCUCAGGGAUCCCACCCAGAUUAAAUACCUAGAAAUAUAUCCUCCCUCGUGGGUUAAAUUAUGUAUCUUCAGCCAAAACCUAAGAGUGUGACCUUAUUUGAAAUAAGGGUCUUUUCAAGUGUAAUUAAGAUAAGGAUCUUGAGAUGAGAUCAUUCUAGUUUAGGGUGAAGUCUAAAUCCAAUGAAGAGUGUCCUUAUCAGAGACGGAAAAGGGGGACACGCAUAGACACAGAAGAAAAUGAUAGGCUGGGCAUGAUGGCUUGCACCUGUAAUCCCAGAGCUUCGGGAGGCUGAGGCAGGAGGAUUGCUCAAGCCCAGGAGUUCCAGGCUGCAGUGAGCUAUAAUCACCCCACUGCACUCCAGCCUGGGUGACAGAGCGAGACCCUGUCUCUGAAAAAAGAAAGAAGGAAGGAAGGAAGGAAAGAAAAAGAAAGAAAGAGAAAGAAAGAAAGAAAAAAAAGAAAAGAAAAGAGAGAGAGAAAGAGAGAAAGGGAGAGAGGAAGAAAGGGAAGGGAGGGAGGGGAAGGAAGGAAGGAAGGGAGGGAGGGAGGGAGGGAAUGCUCUGUGCUGUAGAGGCAGAGUCUGGAGGGCAGCCAUAAGCUACGGGCCACCCAGGAUUGCCAGCAGCCGCCAGAAGAUAGGCAAGGGCAACCCUAACCAUGCUUGGAUUUCAGACUUCUGGCCUCCAGAACUGAGAGAUAAUAAAUUUCUGUUUUUUUAAGCCACCCACUCUGCGGUUCUUUGCUACAGCAACCUGAGGAAACACAUAACCCUCUUUUCAGACUCUUGGGGUAUUUUAUUUUUAUUUAUUUUUUGUAGAGAUGGGGUUUCACUUUGUUGCCCAGGCUAGUCUCGAACUUCUGGGCUCAAGCUACCCUCCCGCCUAGACCUCCCAAAGUGCUGGGAUUACAGGCCUGAGCCACCGCGCCCCGACAAGGGGUUUUUAUUUUUUAAAACAGCAGGGGUUGUUCACAAGUGCAGUCACGGUGUACUGCAACCUUGAACUCCUGGGCUCACUUGAUCCUCCCACUUCAGCCUGCGGAGCAGCUGGGACUACAGGGUCUCGCUCUGUCACCCAGGCUGGAGUGCAGUGGUGUGAUCACAGCUCACUGCAGCUUCAACCUCUUGAUCUCUUAAGCAAUCAUCUCACCUCAGUCUCCCGCUGCCCCACCUCCCCCCUACCCCACCCUGCCAUCGGAUAGCUGGGACCACAGACUCGCACCACCAUGAGUGAAGCCAAAAAAUACUUUUUGUGUUUUUUGUAGAGACAGGGGUCUCUCUAUGUUGCCCAAGCUGGUCUCGAACUCCUGGGCUCAAGCGAUCCUCCCUGCCACCUUGGCCUCCUGAAGUGCUGGGAUUACCGGAGUGAGCCACGGUGCCCAGCCCAUUGGAGGAUUUUUUUUUUUUUUUGAGACGGAGUCUCGCUGUCACCCAGGCUGGAGUGCAGUGGCACGAUCUCAGCUCACUGCAACCUCCGCCUCAUUGGAGGAUUUUAAGCACGGGAAUAACAAGUCUUGUUUGCGCUUUAGAAAGAUCUCCCUAAGUGCAGUGUGUGGGAUAAACUGCAGGGGGCGAGAUGGAGACAAGCCUGGAGGCAGAAAUCAGGUAGGUCAUUAGGAUAGGCUGGGCUGGGGAUGAAGGUGGCUUGGUCGAGGGCUGUAACUGUGAAAUGGUAAUAAGUGGGCCUAGGUCUAUCUUGGAGGCAGCACCGUCAGGAUGAUGGGGUGAGGGAAAGAGAAAUCACAAUAAUUUCCUAGUGUUUUAGCCUACACAGCUGGGCGAAUGGGGAGCCAUCUAUUUAUGAUAGGAGACCUUGGGAAAGACUGGAUUUGAGGGGGUGGUGGAGGGAAAUUCGAGCCUGCUUUUGGCUGGGAGAUGCUCACUAGGCAUCCAAGAGGAGGCGUGAGGUAGUUAAAUAUGUGAGUCUGAGUCCCAGGGAGAAGUCUCGGCGGGAGAUUAAGUCUUGAGAUUCAUCAGACCAGAGAUGGUCUGUGAAGCCACAGAUCAGGAUGACAGCCACUACGGGAAUGAACAAAGAUGAAGACCGGAGACCCCAAGACAGACCUCCGGGGCAGCCAUCACUGAGAGAAGGCGGAGGAGGAGGGGGAAGUGAAGGCUCCUGAGGAGAAGGCCGUGUGGAGGAGGAAACCAGGGGAAGGUGGAGUCGGAGACACUGGAAAAACAGCCUCCCAAAGUGCUGGGAUUACAGGCAUGAGCUACCGUGCUGGGCCCCUUCCCAACUUUGGAUUCAGAGCUAUGUCCUACCAGAGCCAGAAGGGGCCGCCCUCUUCACCGUACAGAUGGGCACACCAACGCCUGGAGAUGUUGGAUGCAGAAGGCGAAAUGUCAGAAGCUGGAGUUCUGCAUCUCAGCUGGAGGGUGAGGGCUGAUAAUUUAUCAGUUGCCAUUGAUCAAAGUUCACAAGGCGAAUCUUCAUAAACUUCUAAAGCUGCCUACAGUUUCCAGUAAACAAAUCUCUUUAAAUUUACAAAAGCAAUGCUUGCUGAUUGUAAAAAACACACAGUGCCAAAGCAUACAAAGGAAGAAGACCUGCUUGCAAUUCGCUACCUACAUCCUACUCCUGGGGCCAACAACUAUUGGAAGUGUGGUGAAUGAUUGACUUAUAUCCUUCUAGAUCUUAUCUACAUAUUUGCAAAGAAAAAAUAUACAUAUAUAAAAUAAAACAUGUAUGGGUUAUAUCCUUACAAACUGA
Pongo pygmaeus (Bornean orangutan) is the source of this 4303-nucleotide long non-coding RNA. RefSeq lists it as uncharacterized. The transcript has 5 exons. The record is from RefSeq and is a predicted model, not a curated record. NCBI's taxonomy places the organism in Eukaryota, Metazoa, Chordata, Mammalia, Primates, Hominidae.